GAGUCUCCACACGGCCUGUUUUGGAUGCCAGCAUUUCUUCUACAUUAACAAUACCACUUUAAUAAACAGAUGUACUUACAGAAAGCGCCCUUCUAGGAAUAAAAUAUUCUGUUUAUGGAAAUGAAGUUAACUCUGAACUUAAGCCAACUUUCUCCUAUCAAAAAGACUAUUGUACCAUGUCAGCCUGUUGCAAACUUCAGAUGUUUUCCAUCUUGCAGAUGUUGUUGUCUUCAAUAAAUAUGUAAUACUUUUA
Pantherophis guttatus is the source of this 253-nucleotide non-coding RNA. The record is from RefSeq and is a predicted model, not a curated record. NCBI's taxonomy places the organism in Eukaryota, Metazoa, Chordata, Lepidosauria, Squamata, Colubridae.